CUAUCUACAGGCUUAACACAUGCAAGUCGAGGGGCAGCAUUUUAGUUUGCUUGCAAACUGAAGAUGGCGACCGGCGCACGGGUGAGUAACACGUAUCCAACCUGCCGAUAACUCCGGAAUAGCCUUUCGAAAGAAAGAUUAAUACCGGAUAGCAUACGAAUAUCGCAUGAUAUUUUUAUUAAAGAAUUUCGGUUAUCGAUGGGGAUGCGUUCCAUUAGUUUGUUGGCGGGGUAACGGCCCACCAAGACUACGAUGGAUAGGGGUUCUGAGAGGAAGGUCCCCCACAUUGGAACUGAGACACGGUCCAAACUCCUACGGGAGGCAGCAGUGAGGAAUAUUGGUCAAUGGGCGAGAGCCUGAACCAGCCAAGUAGCGUGAAGGAUGAAGGCUCUAUGGGUCGUAAACUUCUUUUAUAUGGGAAUAAAGUUUUCCACGUGUGGAAUUUUGUAUGUACCAUAUGAAUAAGGAUCGGCUAACUCCGUGCCAGCAGCCGCGGUAAUACGGAGGAUCCGAGCGUUAUCCGGAUUUAUUGGGUUUAAAGGGAGCGUAGGUGGAUUGUUAAGUCAGUUGUGAAAGUUUGCGGCUCAACCGUAAAAUUGCAGUUGAAACUGGCAGUCUUGAGUACAGUAGAGGUGGGCGGAAUUCGUGGCGUAGCGGUGAAAUGCUUAGAUAUCACGAAGAACUCCGAUUGCGAAGGCAGCUCACUAGACUGUCACUGACACUGAUGCUCGAAAGUGUGGGUAUCAAACAGGAUUAGAUACCCUGGUAGUCCACACAGUAAACGAUGAAUACUCGCUGUUUGCGAUAUACAGUAAGCGGCCAAGCGAAAGCAUUAAGUAUUCCACCUGGGGAGUACGCCGGCAACGGUGAAACUCAAAGGAAUUGACGGGGGCCCGCACAAGCGGAGGAACAUGUGGUUUAAUUCGAUGAUACGCGAGGAACCUUACCCGGGCUUAAAUUGCAACAGAAUAUAUUGGAAACAGUAUAGCCGUAAGGCUGUUGUGAAGGUGCUGCAUGGUUGUCGUCAGCUCGUGCCGUGAGGUGUCGGCUUAAGUGCCAUAACGAGCGCAACCCUUAUCUUUAGUUACUAACAGGUCAUGCUGAGGACUCUAGAGAGACUGCCGUCGUAAGAUGUGAGGAAGGUGGGGAUGACGUCAAAUCAGCACGGCCCUUACGUCCGGGGCUACACACGUGUUACAAUGGGGGGUACAGAAGGCGGCUACCUGGUGACAGGAUGCUAAUCCCAAAAACCUCUCUCAGUUCGGAUCGAAGUCUGCAACCCGACUUCGUGAAGCUGGAUUCGCUAGUAAUCGCGCAUCAGCCAUGGCGCGGUGAAUACGUUCCCGGGCCUUGUACACACCGCCCGUCAAGCCAUGAAAGCCGGGGGUACCUGAAGUACGUAACCGCAAGGAGCGUCCUAGGGUAAAACUGGUAAUUGGGGCUAAG
This 1446-nucleotide ribosomal RNA is filed under the name uncultured organism. Its description in RNAcentral is "SSU rRNA". It matches the Rfam family "Bacterial small subunit ribosomal RNA". The record is from RNAcentral.